RNAcentral lists this ribosomal RNA (496 nucleotides) under uncultured bacterium. Its description in RNAcentral is "partial 16S ribosomal RNA". It matches the Rfam family "Bacterial small subunit ribosomal RNA", at positions 28 to 506 of the family's 1533-position model. The record is from RNAcentral.
GAUGAACGCUGGCGGCGUGCCUAAUACAUGCAAGUCGAGCGAACAGAUAAGGAUCUUGCUCCUUUGACGUUAGCGGCGGACGGGUGAGUAACACGUGGGUAACCUACCUAUAAGACUGGGAUAACUUCGGGAAACCGGAUCUAAUACCGGAUAACAUUUGGAACCGCAUGGUUCUAAAGUGAAAGAUGGUUUUGCUAUCACUUAUAGAUGUACCCGGGCCGUAUUAGCUAGUUGGUAAGGUAACGGCUUACCAAGGCUACGAUACGUAGCCGACCUGAGAGGGGGAUCGGCAAAACUGAAACUGAGACACGGUCCAGACUCCUACGGGAGGCAGCAGUAGGAAAUUUUGCGAAAUGGGCGAAAGCCUGACGGAGCAAGGCCGCGUGAGUGAUGAAGGGUUUCGGCUCGUAAAACUCUGUUAUUAGGAAAGAACAAAUGUGUAAGUAACUGUGCACGUCUGAACGGUACAUAAGCAGAAAGCCCCGGUUAACUACGU